AUUAAUUUGAGAGUUUGAUCCUGGCUCAGGACGAACGCUGGCGGCGUGCCUAAUACAUGCAAGUCGAACGAACUCUGGUAUUGAUUGGUGCUUGCAUCAUGAUUUACAUUUGAGUGAGUGGCGAACUGGUGAGUAACACGUGGGAAACCUGCCCAGAAGCGGGGGAUAACACCUGGAAACAGAUGCUAAUACCGCAUAACAACUUGGACCGCAUGGUCCGAGCUUGAAAGAUGGCUUCGGCUAUCACUUUUGGAUGGUCCCGCGGCGUAUUAGCUAGAUGGUGGGGUAACGGCUCAC
Molecule: ribosomal RNA, 297 nt
Filed under: Lactiplantibacillus plantarum
Lineage: Bacteria; Bacillati; Bacillota; Bacilli; Lactobacillales; Lactobacillaceae
Description: Lactobacillus plantarum partial 16S ribosomal RNA
Rfam family: Bacterial small subunit ribosomal RNA
Source: RNAcentral